CUUACCCAGCAUGCAACUGACACUGAGGCACGAAAGCGUGGGUAUCAAACAGGAUUAAGAUACCCUGGUAGUCCACGCAGUAAACGAUGAAAUACUAGCUGUUGGCGAUAUAAUGUCAGCGGUACAGCGAAAGUGUUAAGUAUUCCACCUGGGGAGUACGCCCGGCAACGGUGAAACUCAAAAGGAAUUGACGGGGGCCCGCACAAGCGGAGGAACAUGUGGUUUAAUUCGAUGAUACGCGAGGAACCUUACCCGGGCUUGAAAGUUAGUGACGGCGGAUGAAAGUCUGCUUCCCUUCGGGGCACGAAACUAGGUGCUGCAUGGUUGUCGUCAGCUCGUGCCGUGAGGUGUCGGCUUAAGUGCCAUAACGAGCGCGACCCUUGCCGUUAGUUGCCAGCGGGUAAUGCCGGGAACUCUAGCGGGACUGCUACUGUAAGGUAGAGGAAGGUGGGGAUGACGUCAAAUCAACACGGCCCUUACGUCCGGGGCGACACACUGGACGGGCGGUGUGUACAAAGGGUGGGUACGUCGCGAGGGGAUGAUAGUCUAAUAAAACUCAUUUCAGUUCGGAUCGGAGUGGACAACAGUAGUCGGCGAAGC
This 600-nucleotide ribosomal RNA is filed under the name uncultured bacterium. Its description in RNAcentral is "bacterial SSU rRNA". It matches the Rfam family "Bacterial small subunit ribosomal RNA", at positions 724 to 1326 of the family's 1533-position model. The record is from RNAcentral.